GUAGGUGAACCUGCGGAAGGAUCAUUACAGAAUAAACCUGGCUUGGUUGUUGCUGGCUCUCUCGGGAGCAUGUGCACGCCGGUCACUUUUAUCUUACCACCUGUGAACACUUUGUAGAUCUGGAGGCAUCUUCACAGACUCUUUUGUCUGUGGUUUUUGGAAGCUGUCGUUCGACUCUUCCUGGCCUUCAGGUUUAUGUCUUUACAUCUACACCAUAAGCAUGUAAACGAAUGAAAUCAAUGGCAGCUUCAUUGCAGCCUAUAAAACUUAAACAACUUUCAGCAACGGAUCUCUUGGCUCUC
This 302-nucleotide unclassified non-coding RNA is filed under the name rhizosphere metagenome. Its description in RNAcentral is "partial ribosomal RNA internal transcribed spacer region". The record is from RNAcentral.